AGUCUGCGUUUAAAACACCAUUAGUAUAAGCGCCAAUAGUCUUCCACUUUAGGCGAGGCAGCAGCACAGAUAUUUUCUAUCCAAGACAAGAUAGACAGUAAAACUCACACCUAGGUGAGCUCAAUUAUUUAUUCGCUUUUUGAAUCUACGUGGACGCCUUUCUGUGAGCUCCGCAGCCGCUUGACACUGUUUUUAUUGGCAGAUUAACAGUCAUUUUUGUUAACGAGCGCCAUUAAAUCGGGCCCUGCGUGGUUUUGCCCCUUGUCUUUACAGCACAAACUACUUCAAACUACUUUUUGGGGUCCGUUUAAUACCAUAAUAAAAACCAACACGAGGGCGGCUGCUUCGGUUUUAUAGUGCUGAUAUACGGCCUGAAGUGGUGCGGACCGUAAACGCAGCUGAGGUUGUUGCAGCCUUCACUCCCGGUCGGGUAAAGGGCGCUUGUUACUCAGCCAUCAGGCUACCAUGAGUGAACACAGCUCGGACCAGAGCUCGGUGGAGGUACCGAGGACUGUAUCAGCUUUGUGCAGUGGCGGGAUAGGAGCGUGCCCGAACCUGUGUUCAGUCAGCAGCGACUCAGUGAUCAAAUGAGGGGAGGGAAAAGACCGGACUGACUGUGAGUCCAGACGUUUGACUUCCUGCUGACCCUUAUCAAAGUCACCGGUAUUGUAAGUGUUUCUAUUUCUUUAUAAUUAUGGCAGACCUGAAGUCUUGGACUCUUUGGUGAAGGCAGGCAGCUAGCCGGGGCUAUAAAUCCGAUCUCUGCGACGCAUACACAGCUAAUACCGUUAUUUACGACGAUUAAAUAUGAACUAUACGCGUUGCUUCUGGGGUCUAAGGCCGUUAUUUACGAGGAUGAAGGCAGGCUAGAGCAGCUUUCUGAUCUGCUGAGGGGACGUGAUGAGUUGGACCGGAGACAGACUGAGCGGCUGGUGGGUUCUCAUUCCAGGAGCAGCAACAGAAACCCAAACCGACUCUGGCGCCCAGGUUUGGCCUAUGAGCUUGAAUUCACCACGUCCCCCUGUCCUUCAGUCUCAAAGGACCUAUUUCCAGCUCUGGACUGCUUCAGUUGGAUAACAGCGAGCCAUGCAAGAGAACAGGAAGUAGAACUCACCAAAAUUCAGAAAAAGACAUUAGAAGGGGCUCUCAGGAAAUGUUACAUCAGCAGAACCUCUAACAUGUUCCCCAAGAACUCCACUGACCUAGAAAACAAGCACAGAAAGCAAAACUACAAAUCAGCGGAGUUCUGAUUUCCAGUGGCAUGAAUAUGAUAUGAAUGAAUGUGGCUACUAUACUGCUGCUGGCACUGUUAAUGUUGCAGGUAAAAUUACUGCUAGUGCUGCUCUAACUAUUACUACCACUAUGUGACUAUUGUGAUCACCACAGCAGCCGUACCAAUGUCACUACUUUAACAAGGCACUUUCUAAUUGUUUUAAUGAACAAAAGCCC
This 1449-nucleotide long non-coding RNA is filed under the name Mastacembelus armatus (zig-zag eel). Its description in RNAcentral is "lncRNA (ENSMAMG00000025152.1)". The record is from RNAcentral. Lineage: Eukaryota; Metazoa; Chordata; Actinopteri; Synbranchiformes; Mastacembelidae.